Molecule: ribosomal RNA, 574 nt
Filed under: Photobacterium sp.
Lineage: Bacteria; Pseudomonadati; Pseudomonadota; Gammaproteobacteria; Vibrionales; Vibrionaceae
Description: bacterial SSU rRNA
Rfam family: Bacterial small subunit ribosomal RNA
Source: RNAcentral
AUAUUGCACAAUGGGGGAAACCCUGAUGCAGCCAUGCCGCGUGUAUGAAGAAGGCCUUCGGGUUGUAAAGUACUUUCAGUUGUGAGGAAGGCGUUGAAGUUAAUAGCUUCAGCGUUUGACGUUAGCAACAGAAGAAGCACCGGCUAACUCCGUGCCAGCAGCCGCGGUAAUACGGAGGGUGCGAGCGUUAAUCGGAAUUACUGGGCGUAAAGCGCAUGCAGGCGGUCUGUUAAGCAAGAUGUGAAAGCCCGGGGCUCAACCUCGGAACAGCAUUUUGAACUGGCAGACUAGAGUCUUGUAGAGGGGGGUAGAAUUUCAGGUGUAGCGGUGAAAUGCGUAGAGAUCUGAAGGAAUACCGGUGGCGAAGGCGGCCCCCUGGACAAAGACUGACGCUCAGAUGCGAAAGCGUGGGGAGCAAACAGGAUUAGAUACCCUGGUAGUCCACGCCGUAAACGAUGUCUACUUGAAGGUUGUGGCCUUGAGCCGUGGCUUUCGGAGCUAACGCGUUAAGUAGACCGCCUGGGGAGUACGGUCGCAAGAUUAAAACUCAAAUGAAUUGACGGGGGCCCGCCAC